RNAcentral lists this ribosomal RNA (430 nucleotides) under uncultured bacterium. Its description in RNAcentral is "bacterial SSU rRNA". It matches the Rfam family "Bacterial small subunit ribosomal RNA", at positions 355 to 776 of the family's 1533-position model. The record is from RNAcentral.
UGAGGAAUCUUGCGCAAUGGGGGAAACCCUGACGCAGCAACGCCGCGUGAGUGAGGAAGGUUUUCGAAUCGUAAAGCUCUGUCAGGUGGAAAGAAAUGUAUGGUUGUUAAUAGCCUCCAUACUUGACGGUACCACCAGAGGAAGCACCGGCUAACUCCGUGCCAGCAGCCGCGGUAAUACGGGGGGUGCAAGCGUUGUUCGGAAUCAUUGGGCGUAAAGAGCGUGUAGGCGGCUUGAUAAGUCAGAUGUGAAAGCCCUGGGCUUAACCCAGGAAGUGCAUUUGAUACUGUCUGGCUAGAGUAAGGGAGAGGAAAGCGGAAUUCCUGGUGUAGAGGUGAAAUUCGUAGAUAUCAGGAGGAACACCGGUGGCGAAGGCGGCUUUCUGGCCCUAUACUGACGCUGAGACGCGAGAGCGUGGGUAGCAAACAGG